AUACGGAGGGUGCGAGCGUUAAUCGGAAUUACUGGGCGUAAAGCGCGCGUAGGCGGCUUGUUAAGUCGGAUGUGAAAGCCCCGGGCUCAACCUGGGAAUUGCAUUCGAUACUGGCAGGCUAGAGUAUGGUAGAGGGAAGCGGAAUUCCGGGUGUAGCGGUGAAAUGCGUAGAUAUCCGGAGGAACACCAGUGGCGAAGGCGGCUUUCUGGACCAAUACUGACGCUGAGGUGCGAAAGCGUGGGGAGCAAACAGGAUUAGAAACCCCAGUAGUCC
RNAcentral lists this ribosomal RNA (274 nucleotides) under uncultured bacterium. RNAcentral's name for it is "partial 16S ribosomal RNA". It matches the Rfam family "Bacterial small subunit ribosomal RNA", at positions 523 to 796 of the family's 1533-position model. The record is from RNAcentral.